GCCCCGGUAGCCCAAUUGGCAGAGGCGGUUGACUCAAAAUCAGCACAGUGCGGGUUCAAGUCCCGCCCGGGGCA
Molecule: transfer RNA, 74 nt
Filed under: Georgenia satyanarayanai
Lineage: Bacteria; Bacillati; Actinomycetota; Actinomycetes; Allobogoriellales; Allobogoriellaceae
Description: Georgenia sp. JC82 tRNA
Rfam family: tRNA
About the family: Transfer RNA (tRNA) molecules are approximately 80 nucleotides in length. Their secondary structure includes four short double-helical elements and three loops (D, anti-codon, and T loops).
Source: Rfam by way of RNAcentral